This 501-nucleotide ribosomal RNA is filed under the name uncultured bacterium. Its description in RNAcentral is "partial 16S ribosomal RNA". It matches the Rfam family "Bacterial small subunit ribosomal RNA", at positions 28 to 507 of the family's 1533-position model. The record is from RNAcentral.
GACGAACGCUGGCGGCGUGCCUAAUACAUGCAAGUCGAGCGGACCGGAUUGGGGCUUGCCUUGAUUCGGUCAGCGGCGGACGGGUGAGUAACACGUGGGCAACCUGCCCGCAAGACCGGGAUAACUCCGGGAAACCGGAGCUAAUACCGGAUAACACCGAAGACCGCAUGGUCUUCGGUUGAAAGGCGGCCUUUGGGCUGUCACUUGCGGAUGGGCCCGCGGCGCAUUAGCUAGUUGGUGAGGUAACGGCUCACCAAGGCGACGAUGCGUAGCCGGCCUGAGAGGGUGACCGGCCACACUGGGACUGAGACACGGCCCAGACUCCUACGGGAGGCAGCAGUAGGGAAUCUUCCGCAAUGGGCGAAAGCCUGACGGAGCGACGCCGCGUGAGCGAAGAAGGCCUUCGGGUCGGAAAGCUCUGUUGUGAGGGACGAAGGAGCGUCGUUCGAAGAGGGCGGCGCGGUGACGGUACCUCACGAGAAAGCCCCGGCUAACUACGUG